AGAGUUUGAUCAUGGCUCAGAACGAACGCUGGCGGCAGGCCUAACACAUGCAAGUCGAGCGCCCCCGCAAGGGGGAGCGGCGGACGGGUGAGUAACGCGUGGGAAUUUUCCUCAAGGUACGGAACAACUCAGGGAAACUUGGGCUAAUACCGUAUGAUGCAGAGAUGCCAAAGAUUUAUCGCCUUGGGAUAAGCCCGCGUCAGAUUAGGUAGUUGGUGGGGUAACGGCCUACCAAGCCUGCGAUCUGUAGCUGGUCUGAGAGGACGAUCAGCCACAUUGGGACUGAGACACGGCCCAAACUCCUACGGGAGGCAGCAGUGGGGAAUCUUGCGCAAUGGGCGAAAGCCUGACGCAGCCAUGCCGCGUGAAUGAUGAAGGUCUUAGGAUUGUAAAGUUCUUUUGCCCGUGACGAUGAUGACGGUAACGGGAGAAUAAGCCCCGGCUAACUUCGUGCCAGCAGCCGCGGUUAAUACGAAGGGGGCUAGCGUUGUUCGGAAUUACUGGGCGUAAAGCGCGCGUAGGCGGUUUUGCAAGCCAGAGGUGAAAUGCCUGA
Molecule: ribosomal RNA, 553 nt
Filed under: uncultured bacterium
Lineage: Bacteria
Description: bacterial SSU rRNA
Rfam family: Bacterial small subunit ribosomal RNA
Source: RNAcentral